CACCUGUGGCAUAUGGAAGUUCCCAGGCUAAGGGUUGAAUUGGAGCUGCAGGAGAUCUGAGCUGUAUCUGUGACUUAAGCCAGAUCCUUAACCCACUGAGUGAGACCAGGGAUCAAACUCGCAUCCUCACAGACACUAAUUGGGUUCUUAACCUACCGAGCCACAAUAGGAACUCCAAAACACAUUUGUAAAAUAACACGAUUCAAUGGUUUUGAAUGCCCUGAAAAAGCUGUACAACCAUCACCAAUACUAACUCCAGUAUGUUAGAUCACACCCCCAAAGAAACUCCAUAACCAUUAGUGGAGACUCCCCAUUUUCCCCUCGCCUCAGCUUCUGGCAAAUACUCAUCUGCUCUGUUGCUAUGGAUGUGCCUAUCCUGAACAUUUCACAUACAUGGAAUCAUACAAUAGGUAGCCUUUUGUGUCUGGCUUCUUUCAUGUUGGCUUCAACAUCCAUGUAUGCUGAAGUAUGUAAGUUUAUCUCUUUUUAUGGCUGAAUAAUAAUCCAUCAUGUGAACAUACCACAUUUUGCCUACAGUUGAUGGGCAUUUGGAUCCCAGUUUCUAUUUUUGAGCUGUUAAAAAUAAUGCUGCUAUGGAGUUCCCAUCGUGGCACAGUAGUUAACGAAUCCAACUAGGAACCAUGAGGUUGUGGGUUCGAUCCCUGGCCUCGCUCAGUGGGUUAAGGAUCCAGCAUUGCCUGAAGCCAGGGAUGGAACCUGCAUCCUCAUGGAUCCUAGUCAGAUUCCUUUCCCCUGAGCCACGACAGGCACUCUGUAAAUAUUUUCUGUAAAAUUCAUUUUUCUGUGUCAAGAACACCUGUGAGGCGCCCUGACUGCCAUUGGAUGCAACGCUACUGGCCAGCUCUGUUAAUUCCGCACGGGGCAGGCAGCCCUGGGCAUGGAUCCCAGACCUGAUCUGUCCCAGGGAAGUUGUAUCCUUGCUCACAAAGGGGACAUGGUCAUUAGGGUGUUGGGGGUUCUCAGUUAAAUGGGUCACCAGGGUCCAAAAGAGUACAGGACAGGGCCACAAGCUAGGCUGUCUCUGACCCCUCUUCCUAAAC
This 1061-nucleotide long non-coding RNA is filed under the name Sus scrofa (pig). Its description in RNAcentral is "lncRNA (ENSSSCG00025032332.1, ENSSSCG00035029507.1)". The record is from RNAcentral. Lineage: Eukaryota; Metazoa; Chordata; Mammalia; Artiodactyla; Suidae.